UGUCGCAGUUACGGGAUGUUGCCAGGAUCGGCCUCGAAGACAGCGACAGGUGCGUGGAUGGCCCCAGGCGGGCUUUGUGUUCUAAUCGCCUGUCGCCUUCAUUAGCAGCAGCCGUGAUGAGACGGGUAGUCGGGGUUGGAUGUGCUGCUGAGUGGACGCACCAGACAAAGACACUUUGCAGCUUUUUAUGAAGAUAAGACAGUCUUAUACCCUGAAAUUCCUGGCGCUCCUGGCAGUGUGUGGUGGUCCGAAGAACCUCUACAGCCCAAGACCCGAUGGGCUGAUGAUUUGAGGUAAACGUACUGAAGUCAAAUCCUAAUUCGGAGCUUCGUUGGCACGCCAGAGGAGGAGAGCAGUGAAUGCUGACGUGUGCGAGUGUUCUCCUCAGAUCCUCUUUUUGGGCGACUCGGGACAUUCAGCCUCUUUAUUAGUGCAAAGCUAGAGCUUCCCCCUUCCAGCCACUAGAUGGCGCCUAAAGCUCGCAGCAGCGACGAGGCUGUGACGUCAUGCAGGUCAAGGCUGCAAAUAACAAGUGAUGCAAACAGCUUUUUCUUUUUUUCUUUAAAAAAACAUACUUUGUAUGUUUUGAAAUAAAUUAAAGUGUCUAGGCUGUCAGGGUGAAAAUGACUAUUUGCAUGCAUUCCCUGGGGCCCUGUCGCAUAUUUGUGUGCGGCUUUAAUAAACCACUGAACAGGGACAAGCUGUAAGCGGCGGUGCCGGUAAUGCACUUGGACGGCGAAGGAGCCGUAAAUCACAUUUAGUAUCAGACUUGAUGCUUUUUAGUGACUCUUCUUAUUCGUGUGGGGAAAAGCUACUUUAAAU
Molecule: long non-coding RNA, 822 nt
Organism: Nerophis ophidion (straightnose pipefish)
Lineage: Eukaryota; Metazoa; Chordata; Actinopteri; Syngnathiformes; Syngnathidae
Exons: 3
Source: RefSeq, a predicted model, not a curated record